AUUAAAAACCCAAAAAAUAUUUGGGAAUAAUGAAUCGUAGCCGAGCUACUUGGCCGGCCCAUCUACAGAAUGCUGACUGCUUGCUCCGUGCGAUGCAGCGGCAUAUAGGAAAACCGCUCCAAAAAAAAAGGAAAUUUCAAACUUCCUUAGGGGAAGGGUGAUUAAUCGAACAAUUCCGCUCGUUAGGAUUUGUUUAAGGGUGUCACUUGGCUUAAUCGACUAAAGUAGAUGUUUGAAUACAAAUAAAUUCCAGGGGAUUUAGCAGCCACAUAUGGCGCCCCGCCUCGUGACAAAACAACUUGUAAUAUAAACCUGGCCAAGCAUAAUUUAUACUAACAUAUAUUUAGGUUACUUAGCGUGUGCAGUCACACCGUUUAUUUAAUGGAUCCUCUGUUCCAUCAGAUAGAACACGGAAUUAUUUGAAGGGUCGAAACCAAGAAUAUUAUCUUGCUUUGCAACAAAUUGUUGCAUUGUGGGAAUCGUGGCGUUUGUAACAAGCAAACCAUCGAAAUUAAGGCAUGUAACAAUGAAGAAACACUUUCGGAGCAUGAACCAAAUCAUUUGGAAUAAUCAUAGUGUCGCCAAUAAUCCUCGCAUACUAGUGUUGCGUGUAACUCGUAGCCAACAAACUACAGAGACUAAGACUCUGCCAAUAACAAAUAUCGUGAUAAAGAAGGAAGCCAAAAGCCCAGAUCAAAAUUAACUAGUACAAUUCGAUGUAGUGAUCCACACCGUCCAUACAAAUCUCCAAAUACUAGGAUAGAAACAACCAUGAUCAACUAUGAGCAUCUCUGACCGAGUAGAUCAUCGUGGGAUUGCACGGUGUUCGCAAUAGGAGCUUGUGAUCAGAAGCACAUGUCCAGCAGACAGCAGCAGCAAAUGGCAGCACAACUGCAGAUGAAAACGGACAACGGAUUAGAAGAAACCAGAAUAGAAAGCGAUGGGAACAUGGCAUGAUGAUGCAUGCACGUAUAUCCUGACGAUCGAGUGGCUUAUAUAUCACGGCUCAUAAAACUCAAUGACGUACCAUCCUUUCCAGAAGCCGUCGCCGCCGCGGUCCUGCGAAUCCUGCGGCGGGGCCUGCUGCUGCUGGUAGUUGGCGGCGACNGCAGCAAAUAGCAGCACAACUGCAGAUGAAAACGGACCACGUACGUCAGAUUAGAAGAAAUCAAAACAGAAAGCAGUGGGUAAUCUUGACGAUCGAGUAGCCGUACCAUCCUUUCCAGAAGCCGUCGCCGCUGUCCUCCGGUUCCGGCGGCGGGGCCUGCUGCUGCUGGUACUGGUAGUCGGCGGCGACAGGCGGCGGAGCGCCGUACCCUGGAGGAGGUGGGUAGGCCUCCUGCCCCGGCGGCGGGUACGCGGUGCCCGGUGGCGGGUAGCUCAUGGCCGACGCCGCGGUCUGAGUUCACAGAGACAGUAGAACCGCUGAAGCAGGAAGCUGGCAAGGCAGACUUGCUGAUGCCACAAGCCGCUCUCUGCUCUCGACUUUGUGAUGUUCUUCUAAUGGAGCAUUGCUCUUUAUAGCGACACCAAGAGGCAUACGCUCGUAGCACUCCUACUACUAUUUUCAGGAUUACUUAGGCGCGUAAUCCUAACACAUAUCCAGAUUUUCAAAGGGACGCCGGUCACAGGCGGUAGUGCAUCCAUGCACGGCGACGGCGGGUUUCAAUUGGUUUCUCGCCCUCCAAAACCGUCGUUGAAGGCGUCACUCGGAAGGAGAGACAUCG
Molecule: long non-coding RNA, 1727 nt
Filed under: Hordeum vulgare
Lineage: Eukaryota; Viridiplantae; Streptophyta; Magnoliopsida; Poales; Poaceae
Description: long non-coding RNA (HVUL_LNC005460)
Source: RNAcentral